CAGUAGCCACGGUAAUACGUAGGGCGCAAGCGUUGUCCGGAAUUAUUGGGCGUAAAGAGCUCGUAGGCGGUCUGUCGCGUCUGGUGUGAAAUCCCGAGGCUCAACCUCGGGCUUGCAUCGGGUACGGGCAGACUAGAGUGCGGUAGGGGAGACUGGAAUUCCUGGUGUAGCGGUGGAAUGCGCAGAUAUCAGGAGGAACACCGAUGGCGAAGGCAGGUCUCUGGGCCGCAACUGACGCUGAGGAGCGAAAGCAUGGGGAGCGAACAGGAUUAGAUACCCCAGUAGUCCCUGUCUCUUAUAA
This 301-nucleotide ribosomal RNA is filed under the name uncultured bacterium. Its description in RNAcentral is "partial 16S ribosomal RNA". It matches the Rfam family "Bacterial small subunit ribosomal RNA", at positions 509 to 809 of the family's 1533-position model. The record is from RNAcentral.